RNAcentral lists this long non-coding RNA (1074 nucleotides) under Parus major (Great Tit). RNAcentral's name for it is "lncRNA (ENSPMJG00000002412.1)". The record is from RNAcentral. Lineage: Eukaryota; Metazoa; Chordata; Aves; Passeriformes; Paridae.
GAUGGGGCUGGGAUGGUGCCGCGGUUCCUUGGGCUGUUCUGAUCUUGUUCUCAUUCCCCUCCCAUCCCCAUUCCCACAUUCCCAUUCCCAUCCCCAUUCCCACAUUCCCAUUCCCAUCCCCAUCCCAUCCCAUUCCCACAUCCCCAUCCCAUCCCAUCCCCAUUCCCAUUCCCAUCCCAUCCCAUCCCAUCCCAUUCCCAUGGAUCCCAUUCCCAUUCCCAUUCCCAUUCCCAUCCCCAUUCCAUUCCCCAUUCCCAUUCCCACAUUCCCCAUCCCCAUUCCCACAUCCCCAUUCCCAUUCCCAUCCCAUCCCAUCCCAUGGAUCCCAUUCCCAUCCCCAUUCCCACAUUCCCACAUUCCCAUCCCCAUCCCCAUCCCAUUCCCAAUCCCAUCCCCAUUCCCACAUUCCCCAUUCCCAUCCCCAUCCCAUUCCAUCCCAUGGAUCCCAUCCCCAUUCCCAUCCCCAUUCCCACAUCCCCAUCCCCAUCCCCAUCCCAUGGAUCCCAUUCCCAUUCCCACAUUCCCACAUUCCCACAUUCCCAUCCCCAUCCCAUCCCAUCCCCAUCCCCAUCCUCAUUCCCAUUCCCAUCCCAUUCCAUCCCAUCCCAUGGAUCCCAUCCCCAUUCCCACAUCCCCAUCCCCAUCCCCACAUCCCCAUCCCAUUCCCAUUCCCAUUCCCACAUUCCCAUUCCCCAUCCCCAUUCCCAUUCCCCAUUCCCAUUCCCAUUCCCCAUUCCCAUUCCCAUUCCCAUUCCCCAUCCCCAUUCCCAUUCCCAUCCCAUCCCAUCCCAUGUAUUCCAUCCCCAUCCCCAUCCCCAUUCCCAUCCCAUGGAUCCCAUUCCCACAUUCCCACAUCCCCAUUCCCAUGGAUCCCAUCCCCAUCCCCAUUCCCAUUCCCAUCCCCACCCCGUUCCCGGGGCAGGGAUUCCCGCCGGGAUCGCCGUGCGGUGUCUCCGGACGUGAUCGUUCUGUCGGACACCGAGGCCGGGAGCCCCCGGCUGAACGGGCUGGACCCCGCAGGGCCCCCCCAGCCCGGAGCCGGCCUCCUGGUGAGCCCCAAAACCCGGGAAUGGC